GUAAGCUUAAGUGCAGAAUUUUUUUUGCGCGUUAUGAAAACAAUGCACUGCAGGUAUUUUAAUUAAUGCAACGAGCUGUAUGAAAUAUCGGUCAAGGGGUUGGAAACGUCGUUAUAGAGAAUCCCGACGAUUUUUCUUUUGCGUGUGUGUAUUUGGAGUUGAUUCACAGUUUUAUUUGUUUAUUUUGGCUACAUUGCGCCAAUUGCGCUUCCAUAGAAUAAAGAAACGCGCUUCCACGCGCUUGCCGACUCGAUCGCAAGGGGACAGCCUGAUCAACAUCAAUAUCAGCAGCAAUGGCGGAUUUGCGCUUGCCAUGGCGCUUGCAAAGUUUUCAAUAGUUUUCGACUACUAAGUGAUGCUUUUGCUAUUUUAACGUGUGGAGGUUCAUUGUACGUCUGUUUUUUCAAGUUUGGCAUGUGUUUUAACACGUGAAGGUGUAGUCUUUUCUUCUUCAGCGGAUAUUUGUACAAGACCCCGUUCACCGUCUAUCAGCUCUAGCUCGGCAAGAAUAAAGCGGUUCCUUAGAAGUGGUGGAGGUGCUGGGGUUCUGCAUACCAAGGACGUAUAAGGUAACAGUGUUUGUGCCUUUAAUAUGUCUCAUUCCAUCAUUUUGAGACGUGGUGGUGUUCAUGCGUUAGCACAGUGCAAGGACAUCCACAAUGUAAGAGGUACAUGAUUCUCGAAUUGUAUACUCUCUCUGGGCUUUUCUCGCGACCUCAGCACAAGUAGUGGGAGCAUCAAAAAACUGACAAAGCUGGUGCAUGAAUGUUGCCCAGUGUUGGUGUUCCUUGGUGUUGAAAUUAUCCUUCCUUUCUCUAAAUCCAAGGGCGAGAUCUUGCAUUCUGAAUGUUUGCUUGCACUCUCAUUAUUCGCCUUCACCAUGCUUUCGUCAGCGGUCAUCUGCUUGGUGAAGUGGGAGCGCCUAUUGAACACUGCCUACUCACUGAUGUAGAAGGUGAAGCAAACAGUCAGAAAGCUAGAAGCUUGCCCAAUCUCAUCCCAGGUAUUUAAUCCAGUUUGACAUUGAAGCAUCCUGGUAGUAUUAAAGUACUUUAGAAAGAGGUUCCAGAAGCAUUGCCAAGUUUGCCACUUGGUGAAAUUUGUAGUUUGGAAACAAUUUAGGCUCUUAGCAAGAUUAGUAGUGAACAGAGGUUUUCACAUGGCGAUUGGUGUUGUCCAAAUGCAUGAAGAGGUCACAGUACGAGUACUUAAGCUGAUAGUGUCGGGUAACCAUAAGCACCAGCAGGGGCCCCGUAACAGUGUCCCCUUUAACUUCAUAUAUGCUUCACUGCAUGAUGCUAAAUAUGCUUCGCCGCAUAACACGACUCUGCUGCAGCGAAGGUGACUUAAACCGACAACAGCCGAGAAGGUGCAAACAGCACUGCGCUGCCUGGUUCUUGCUGUUGGCCUUUUCUUCUUUUCACAGUGUCCUUACUGUAAGUGCACUCCAGAGUUACAAUGCAGGAAUAUGCAUGUGUGCAUAAGCUUUCAUUCAAGAGUAACUCAUGAUCACAAGUUACGUCAUCAUGGUUUCGUACCAUGUCACGGCAUCAUAAGUGAGACAUAAUAAAGAAGCCCUCAAAGUCUGCGGGAGAGACUAAUCUUUUGUGCGAGAUUGUGCUAUCCUUGCUGCACGCAGUGCAAUAUUAUAUGACUCUCAUGUCUAUGGUGGCAUUGUCGAUUAUGAAUGUUUCCUUACUGCGUUAAAAAAAUGUGUAGUGCAUCUUUCAGAUAAUAAUGGCAUUAUAGCUUCAGAGUUGUUCAAGUUUGGGGUACUUGUUCACUAAAAGUACAUUAUCAGAAAAGCUUUAGAAUGUCUAGGUCAUAAUUGCAUUUGAAGAACUAAGUCUUCCUACACAUAGCAAUUGGUAGCUUACUGUGUAAUGUUGAAGGUGGUUUUUAUUCAUAGGCCCUACGCAGAGAGCAGCAACACAAUGCCUGGCAUGUGACCAGGGUUCGUCACAGUGUUUGCAUUUCCAGUGCUCGUAACUGAUUCCAAGCAUAAAUUUGCUUUAUGAAUUCUUUGUAGACAGAAGGUGCUUGAAUAUUAGUUGCAUGAAAUGCUCCAAUGCACACUGUAUAUGUACAGCGUGUCUUUUAUUACCAUACAGAUUUUCUUGUUUUAAAGUUAUGAGCGCAGCAAAUGUGGCAUUCUUGCAGAGGAAUUCCUCUAUUUUGGAACUCCACAAAUUUGGAGGCAGUCACAUUUUAUAGCACUCUCAUUUCUUGCAAAUCUUGAAAGUUGCACCUAAUUCAAGAUAUUCAUCAUUGAAUUUCACUGGUAAAUCGAGGCAAUAUUGGAACAG
RNAcentral lists this long non-coding RNA (2306 nucleotides) under Dermacentor andersoni. RNAcentral describes it as "uncharacterized LOC126545693". The record is from RNAcentral. Lineage: Eukaryota; Metazoa; Arthropoda; Arachnida; Ixodida; Ixodidae.